UUUCCCUCAGGAUAGCUGGUGCAUUUAAAUAUUAUGUAAAAUAAUCUUAUCUGGUAAAGCGAAUGAUUAGAGGCCUUAGGGUCGAAACGACCUUAACCUAUUCUCAAACUUUAAAUGGGUAAGAACCUCACCUUUCUUGGUAUGAAGGUUGUGGUUGUGAUAUAAUGUGCCCAGUGGGCCACUUUUGGUAAGCAGAACUGGCGCUGUGGGAUGAACCAAACGUAAUGUUACGGUGCCCAAAUUAACAACUCAUGCAGAUACCAUGAAAGGCGUUGGUUGCUUAAAACAGCA
This 291-nucleotide ribosomal RNA is filed under the name Ravinia sp. ESW-2015a. RNAcentral describes it as "partial 28S ribosomal RNA". It matches the Rfam family "Eukaryotic large subunit ribosomal RNA", at positions 967 to 1242 of the family's 3401-position model. Lineage: Eukaryota; Metazoa; Arthropoda; Insecta; Diptera; Sarcophagidae. The record is from RNAcentral.